Non-coding RNA from Trichonephila inaurata madagascariensis, 78 nucleotides. NCBI's taxonomy places the organism in Eukaryota, Metazoa, Arthropoda, Arachnida, Araneae, Nephilidae. The record is from the annotation of a GenBank genome assembly.
GAGGGAAUAGCUCAGUGGUAGAGCAUUCGACCGCUAAUUGAGAGGUCCAUGGUUCAAACCAAAGUGUCCCUUUCUUCA